UAGAAAAGAGGGUAGAGGAGCUACCUUCAAACACAUUCAGUGGAAUGUAAAUCUCACAUACUCCUAUUUCCAUUCGCAUUUCUUCUAAGUAGUUUUUUUUGUUUAAAUCGUAAUAAGCACAUCAAAAACAUAGACUUAUUUCUCAAGCACUUUCAAUGUUCUACUCAAUUUGGCUUAGACUCUGUUUUCUGUUCUCUUUAUCCAGACUCCAAGCGGAAGAAGUAGUCCUAAUUUAGAAUAUAUUAGAAUCAUGGUAGCUGUAAAAGAACUGUGACAGAAACAAGAGCUGUCUCUUAAAACCUAUGCUCAGACGUGUGGCAAAUCUUUCCAAUCAAUUAUAUUGGAGUAAUGAAUGGUGAGUGUGUCCUCACUGGAAUACAAGGAUGCCUUUUCCUAUUGAUAUGAAUUUUACAACAUUGAAGAUAUGAAUGCAUUACAGGAUAAUAGACAAAUAUUGAAGAAACUAAUGUAUUAUAACAUAGAAAAAAGUUAACUUUUAGAAUGAGUGGGUGAAUUAUUUCUCUUAAAUCUGCAAUAGUUAUAUAAACAAAAAACUGAAAGGGAUAAGAAUGUAGUUAUGCAAGCUAUUUGAUGUUAUACUACUAGUAGUUAAACAGAGCUAUUGCUUGAAUGUUUGGAUACCCUCCAAAAUUCAUGUGAAAGUGUAAUCCCCAGUGAAAUAGUAUUAAGAGUUGGUACCUUUAGGAAGUGAUUCAGUCAGAAGAUUUCUUCCCUUGUGAAUGGGAUUAAGGACAUUAUAAAACGGGCAUUAUACAAUGGUAGGUCCCUUUCUGCCUUUCUGUCCCUUCACCAGGAGAGGACACUUGGAGAAAACACUGUCUAUGAGGAAUGGUCCAUGUCCAGUGAAUGCCAGUACCUUGAUCUUGGACUUCCUGGACUCCAGAACUACUUCCUGCAAAUGA
RNAcentral lists this long non-coding RNA (923 nucleotides) under Callithrix jacchus (white-tufted-ear marmoset). RNAcentral's name for it is "lncRNA (ENSCJAG00000052114.2)". The record is from RNAcentral. Lineage: Eukaryota; Metazoa; Chordata; Mammalia; Primates; Cebidae.